UGGACCUCAGAUCAGGCAAGAUCACCCGCUGAGUUUAAGCAUAUCACUAAGCGGAGGAAAAGAAACUAACGAGGAUUUCCCUAGUAACGGCGAGCGAACCGGAAGUAGCC
RNAcentral lists this ribosomal RNA (110 nucleotides) under Frullania riparia. Its description in RNAcentral is "partial 26S ribosomal RNA". It matches the Rfam family "Eukaryotic large subunit ribosomal RNA", at positions 1 to 109 of the family's 3401-position model. The record is from RNAcentral. Lineage: Eukaryota; Viridiplantae; Streptophyta; Jungermanniopsida; Porellales; Frullaniaceae.